RNAcentral lists this ribosomal RNA (20 nucleotides) under Glyceria fluitans. RNAcentral describes it as "partial 26S ribosomal RNA". The record is from RNAcentral. Lineage: Eukaryota; Viridiplantae; Streptophyta; Magnoliopsida; Poales; Poaceae.
CGACCCCAGGUACAGACGGG